UGUUAACCAGACCUUAACAGCAAUUGCGACAUUUAAUAUUGAUAUAAAAAGCGUCAAACCAAGUGCGAAACCAGUGUGCAUAGCGAACGAGGAACCUACUGCAAGUCCGUUGUUUUUCGAGACGUUUUUGCUCUCAGAAGAGGAUGAGAUCGUCAACACACAAUUUACUUUACGGGCCAAGGAUAUCUGUGUAAAGAAAUUUAAAACGCCAGAUCAGUGUGCCACGUUUAAUUCUUCUCAAUUUGCCUGUGUCUCACUUACAGGACGAGCAGGCGUAUUUGCCAGUGCUGAGUUCAUUUACUCACAAAUGGACCAUCAAUUUUCUUCGAAAGAGGAGCGUCGGUACUUUUUGGGCGGGAAAUUACACAAAAUUUACCCAGAGCCGUAUGCUCCUUCAACUAUUAUUGAACUGAUGAGCGGGAAUUCGCGAAAUAUUCUAUUGAGAGACGUGCCUGAUUUAUAUGCGCUGUUUCCGCCGUUGGAUUCUGGAUCAAAGGAGCAUCUAC
Molecule: long non-coding RNA, 506 nt
Organism: Cloeon dipterum
Lineage: Eukaryota; Metazoa; Arthropoda; Insecta; Ephemeroptera; Baetidae
Exons: 3
Source: RefSeq, a predicted model, not a curated record